Molecule: long non-coding RNA, 388 nt
Organism: Perca flavescens (yellow perch)
Lineage: Eukaryota; Metazoa; Chordata; Actinopteri; Perciformes; Percidae
Exons: 3
Source: RefSeq, a predicted model, not a curated record
GAAGAAGACUUCGUUGCAGGUCUUCAAGAAAAUGUAAUUCUUCGAGACAGGAACGGUUAUACUUCACCGAUAAGUGUUGUGAAAAUGCACAUUUUGUGCAUUGUAAAUACAUCUAGUGUGGGUAUGAGUAGCUAGCUUGCUCUUCUCUUUUGAGCGUGACUUACUUUUAAACGAGGUUUAGUUCAGUAACGUUAGCUUGUAUCUCUGCGCGUGGAUGUCCCUGUUCGGUAAUUACUAAUUAGCUAUAUCAACUGAAGAAAGGGAGUUUCAGUGAAAUGAGCAGUGUGGACCUGACAGGCAUGGUCGACUUGCUGGAGGGAAAGCGAGUAGAGAGGAUUUCUUGACACAUCUACCAAAAGCACUUGACGGGUUUGUAUUUUAUUUUGAG